This 1828-nucleotide ribosomal RNA is filed under the name Escherichia coli. Its description in RNAcentral is "partial 23S ribosomal RNA". It matches the Rfam family "Bacterial large subunit ribosomal RNA", at positions 1118 to 2925 of the family's 2925-position model. The record is from RNAcentral. RNAcentral also lists the same sequence under 2 other names. Lineage: Bacteria; Pseudomonadati; Pseudomonadota; Gammaproteobacteria; Enterobacterales; Enterobacteriaceae.
AUCAUUUAAAGAAAGCGUAAUAGCUCACUGGUCGAGUCGGCCUGCGCGGAAGAUGUAACGGGGCUAAACCAUGCACCGAAGCUGCGGCAGCGACGCUUAUGCGUUGUUGGGUAGGGGAGCGUUCUGUAAGCCUGUGAAGGUGUGCUGUGAGGUAUGCUGGAGGUAUCAGAAGUGCGAAUGCUGACAUAAGUAACGAUAAAGCGGGUGAAAAGCCCGCUCGCCGGAAGACCAAGGGUUCCUGUCCAACGUUAAUCGGGGCAGGGUGAGUCGACCCCUAAGGCGAGGCCGAAAGGCGUAGUCGAUGGGAAACAGGUUAAUAUUCCUGUACUUGGUGUUACUGCGAAGGGGGGACGGAGAAGGCUAUGUUGGCCGGGCGACGGUUGUCCCGGUUUAAGCGUGUAGGCUGGUUUUCCAGGCAAAUCCGGAAAAUCAAGGCCGAGGCGUGAUGACGAGGCACUACGGUGCUGAAGCAACAAAUGCCCUGCUUCCAGGAAAAGCCUCUAAGCAUCAGGUAACAUCAAAUCGUACCCCAAACCGACACAGGUGGUCAGGUAGAGAAUACCAAGGCGCUUGAGAGAACUCGGGUGAAGGAACUAGGCAAAAUGGUGCCGUAACUUCGGGAGAAGGCACGCUGAUACGUAGGUGAAGCGACUUGCUCGUGGAGCUGAAAUCAGUCGAAGAUACCAGCUGGCUGCAACUGUUUAUUAAAAACACAGCACUGUGCAAACACGAAAGUGGACGUAUACGGUGUGACGCCUGCCCGGUGCCGGAAGGUUAAUUGAUGGGGUUAGCGCAAGCGAAGCUCUUGAUCGAAGCCCCGGUAAACGGCGGCCGUAACUAUAACGGUCCUAAGGUAGCGAAAUUCCUUGUCGGGUAAGUUCCGACCUGCACGAAUGGCGUAAUGAUGGCCAGGCUGUCUCCACCCGAGACUCAGUGAAAUUGAACUCGCUGUGAAGAUGCAGUGUACCCGCGGCAAGACGGAAAGACCCCGUGAACCUUUACUAUAGCUUGACACUGAACAUUGAGCCUUGAUGUGUAGGAUAGGUGGGAGGCUUUGAAGUGUGGACGCCAGUCUGCAUGGAGCCGACCUUGAAAUACCACCCUUUAAUGUUUGAUGUUCUAACGUGGACCCGUGAUCCGGGUUGCGGACAGUGUCUGGUGGGUAGUUUGACUGGGGCGGUCUCCUCCUAAAGAGUAACGGAGGAGCACGAAGGUUGGCUAAUCCUGGUCGGACAUCAGGAGGUUAGUGCAAUGGCAUAAGCCAGCUUGACUGCGAGCGUGACGGCGCGAGCAGGUGCGAAAGCAGGUCAUAGUGAUCCGGUGGUUCUGAAUGGAAGGGCCAUCGCUCAACGGAUAAAAGGUACUCCGGGGAUAACAGGCUGAUACCGCCCAAGAGUUCAUAUCGACGGCGGUGUUUGGCACCUCGAUGUCGGCUCAUCACAUCCUGGGGCUGAAGUAGGUCCCAAGGGUAUGGCUGUUCGCCAUUUAAAGUGGUACGCGAGCUGGGUUUAGAACGUCGUGAGACAGUUCGGUCCCUAUCUGCCGUGGGCGCUGGAGAACUGAGGGGGGCUGCUCCUAGUACGAGAGGACCGGAGUGGACGCAUCACUGGUGUUCGGGUUGUCAUGCCAAUGGCACUGCCCGGUAGCUAAAUGCGGAAGAGAUAAGUGCUGAAAGCAUCUAAGCACGAAACUUGCCCCGAGAUGAGUUCUCCCUGACCCUUUAAGGGUCCUGAAGGAACGUUGAAGACGACGACGUUGAUAGGCCGGGUGUGUAAGCGCAGCGAUGCGUUGAGCUAACCGGUACUAAUGAACCGUGAGGCUUAACCUU